Non-coding RNA from Rattus norvegicus (Norway rat), 7268 nucleotides. The record is from RefSeq and is a predicted model, not a curated record. Lineage: Eukaryota; Metazoa; Chordata; Mammalia; Rodentia; Muridae.
UCCUGACAUACCCCCAGCAACCAGAGGUAGAGCUCUGAUCUGGGAGAAGGAACCACGGUCUGGGUGGGUCCCCUCUCCUCCCCCACCCUCUGUCUUCUCCUCAGGAACCUCUACAAUGAUGGAUGACCACGGGAGAAGUGUUGUGGGCGGGCAGCCAUCAACUGUUGGAGGACUGCCUGACAGUGCUGACCCCACCCAUGGUCAGCUGGCCUCACCCAUGCCUAUGAGGAACUCUGCAAGGAAGGCAGUUCCGGGUAGCCAUUGAAGGAUCUAGCCGUGGAAUCGCCAUGCAUGACUACUGGCUGGAUGCAGACAUCUCCCUGCCCUACCGAUCCCUACCUAGAGCAAAGUAAGCUUCAUUGGAUCAGGAUGGAGUUGCCCAUCUUUGUGCUCAGACAGGAGCUCUACUCCCACAUCGCUCCCAUGAUGCUGAGGUCUACUGCGGCCCAUCCUCCAUGGGACUUGAUCUCCAACCGUGCCAUCCACAAGACAAGAGGUCUGGUUGGAUAUGCAGGUCACAGACGAUCAGGUGUUGAAGGAGUGAGGACACACAUGAGCAGCAAGAGCAUGCCAACGUCAACCCGGAAGCUGUGAGUUCCUCUGCGUCUCUGCUUUGGCAGGUACAGAAUGGGGCCUUAGGAAGAAAAUGGUGUCUCAGGGGGAGCAACUGGCUUGUGGGUGAUCAGGGCCAGUGCUUUGACAUGGCAUCUUGGAUGGGUCUGUGUUUCACUCGGAGUACAUCCGGAGCUCCGGAGGGGGAAUUUCAGACUCUGAGUGUGAGUGUGUGUGUGUGUGUGUGUGUGUGUGUGUGUGUAGACUUUAGUUAAGAGCAACUGGGUCUUUUACUCUUUUUUUUAUUUGUUUGUUUUUUGUUUGUUUUUCCAGACAGGGUUUCUCGCAUGUAGCCCUGGCUGUCUUGGAACUCAUUCUGUAGACCAGGCUAGCCUCGAACUCAGAGGUUCGCCUGCCUCUGCCUCCUGAGUGCUGGGAUUAAAGGCCUGUGCCACCACCACCUGGCAUUGAUUCAGAAUGAGGAAGCCUUUGAACUGGGCAAGGGUGCUUGUAAAACUUCCUGGAUGGGGUUUGGCUUCUCUUAGGAGAGAGGGGCUGGCAGAGGUUGCUCAUUAGAAGAUACCUAGACACAGGACACAAACCCAGUACAUUGAAGGGAUCUGUUUCCUCUACAGACAUGCUGAGAAGCAGCCUAGGUCUGGCGCCCGUGGCCAAACACUUCGGAUUAAAAAACGAAACCUUGCUUUAGAGCAGUGCGUAGGUUUCCUCUGUGCUGUGCCCCAUCAUGGCGCUCAGUGCAGUUCCACAGACACCUCCGAACCAUUCUGAGCUCACCGAAAUCUCGGCUCAGCUAAGCUCUCUCAGGGAAGGAAUCCACAGGGAAGCGCGUGGCCACACUCUGCUGGGUUAUCUGUUGCUAUGGAUCUGUUUGCUGGAGGAAGGGCUGACUCUAGCUUGGUUUGGUAGAGGAAAAAGGAAGAAAGGAAGAAGAACUGGACACUGGGCUGCUGUGGGGUGAACGCUGUGAAGCUUCAAAAGGGCUGUUUUCUAAAGCAGACACAGGGAAAGAAAGAGGGGCAGACCGGGCAUCAAGUAUGUCCAUGGUACCCAGUGACCAGACCCUGAUCAAGGCAGGCCCUGGGUGUGGUUUGAGGCCUUGACUCUGGGGUUCCCAGCUGUCUCCUCCCAAUCAAAGGCGAUGAAGCCAACAAGAAUAGCCUGCAUUAGGUCACCACAGAGCUUCCUCUACCAGAGGAUAGUACGGCUAGGGUGCACGGCACUGGCUUCAGUCCAAAACCAACUCCACUUCCCUCCAGCUGCAUCCUCCUAACCUUGGCACUGACCCCCACUUAGCCCCAGCUGGGAAACAUCUCACAUAUAGGCACCUCUGCUGAUGCCCUUGGGUCAGUUCUGGUACCAGGGAUCCUUUAAACAGUCCCCGUCCCUGCCCCAAACCCCUGCCUGCCUGCAACUCCAGGAGCUUGAGAAUUCCCUCACCAGGACCUAUGGGCUCAGCACGAACAAAGAACUGUCUUUCCUGGGCCUGGAUGCCUUGGCCAUGAGCUGGUUACAAGCAAUGCCUCCAUAGGCCCAUCCCAGGGCCGGGACAAUUCAAGAACAGAGUCCAAGGCAUCAUCAGUGAAACGGUCAUUGGAUCCCAUCCCUGGCUGAAAGAUGUGGGGCUGGCUUGUUUCGGACUGUGUGUUCACAAGCCACUGAGUCUGGCUUGACCAGGUCACAUGCAUUCCUCUGGGAGCUCAACUGGUCUAAGGCCAGCCUCAUACAUCUACAUUAGCAGCUCAGAAGGUUGGCACUAGGCUAUGUGGUGUGAGAUUGAGAGGGUCUCAUCUCCCUAUGGGGCUUUCUGGAUGUAGACAGUGCUGACAGUGGGUCCAGAGACCGGGGCCUGGUGGAACCAGGGCAGGCCAGAACACGUCAAUAGGUAGCAGGAAGCAGGCACAGGCAGGCCAGUGCAGGAAGCCACUGGGGUGUCUAGAUGUUUAUUUCCCUCUCGGCUGCCUGUACCACGUUUAGACUUCCUGACUUCUGGUUUCAGCAAAGCUCAUCCUUACGGUGCCUGUCUGCUCUGCGGGGGGCAUACAGCAGCAACAUUCCCCUUGGUCUUUCCCCAUCAUAGCCCUGAAAUGUUUCAGCUUCCCCUCAAGCCUCACAAGCAUUCUCAAGGUGGCCUAACAAAUGGCCAUCCUGCAACCUGAACUUACACAAUUGAGGGACUUGGGGAAGCUGUAGUCACAGGGAAGGGGGACAGCAAUAUAUUCAGGUCCAUCCUGACAGGCCCUGGCUCUAUACUGUCUGUGCACGGGGACCAAUGUCACACCAGCCCUCCUCUGUUCUCUAUCUCAGGUGGCUCCACCCAUAGGCUGUCACUCGAUUGCUUCAAGGACCUCACCGGACUGACCUGAGCCUACGUCCUCCUCUUAAUGGGAACAAAAACCCAACAGUUAUAACCUAACCAAAGCCAUAUCCUCAGAGCUGCAGCUGUUCUAAGUCCCAUUCAGGUGGCUCUUUCCCAUCUCCAGUGCAAGGAGAUCUGGGCUAAACAUGAACAACUGAGAGACAGAGACAGAGCAGAGUCAUGGGAGACAGAGACAGUGUAAAAGAGAGACAUAGAGACAGAGUGAGAGACAAGAGAAAAAGAGGGGGAGGUAAAGAGCAGGCACACUGGAGGGGAGGCAGGUGAGCAGGAAAGAACACAGCACCAUGCCCCAUGUUAGUAUCAAUGGACCCAGGGAGAGGACCCCAUGUCCGGGACGGGCUAGAGACACGUUCCCCGGGCGGCACCUGUGGCUUUCCCUAAUUCAGUUCAUCCAGGACUCAGCAAGAUGCCAGGCAGUGUUACCAUUCCAGGCUAUAAGUGAAGCCAUGGCCCAGAGUUGUCCCCAUUGCUAUUGCCACAGGUGCUUGUGAAUGCCAAGCCCCAAAGGGAUGAUGUGGUUCAGGUGUGGGCACUCGAUCCACAGCAAGCACAGGUAUGUGCCUUGGUCUAUUAGACAUCCCAAAUUAAAAUAAAGAUAUGCCCCCAUGUUCCCAUGAUCAGUGCCAGCAGACGGACACAUGAACCCAGCUGCCUGGCCCUGAGAACACAGAGAGAGGAGAGAGCGAGAGAGCGAGAGAAGGCAAGAGAGGGCAAGAGAGUGAGAGAGAGACAGAGACAGAGAGAGAGCAAGAGACAGUGAGAGAGAGAGCAAGAGCGAGGGAGCGAGAGAGCAAGAGAGUAAGAGAGUGAGAGCGAGAAAGAGAGAGUGCAAGACAGCAAGAGCAGGGCUGGGGAUUUAGCUCAGUGGUAGAGCGCUUACCUAGGAAGCGCAAGGCCCUGGGUUCGGUCCCCAGCUCCGAAAAAAAAGAACCAAAAAAAAAAAAAAAGACAGCAAGAGCAAGAGAGCUAGAAAGAGAGAGUGAGAGAGAUAGAGAGAGAGCGAGAGAGUGAGAGCGAGAGAAGGCAAGAGAGUGAGAGACAGAGACAGAGAGAGCAAGAGACAGUGAGAGAGAGCAAGAGCGAGGGAGCAAGAGAGCGAAAGAGUGAGAGGGUGAGACAGAGAGCGCAAGACAGCGAGAGCAAGAGAGCUAGAAAGAGAGAAUGAGAGAAUGAGAGAGCUAGAGAGAGAGGGCAAAAGAGUGAGAGAGAGAGACAGAGAGAGAGCAAGAGACAGCAAGAGCAAGGGAGCGAGAGAGUGAGAGUGAGAGAAACAGAGAGAGCGCGCAAGACAGUGAGAGCAAGAGAGCUAGAAAGAAAGUGAGAGAGUGAGAGAGCUAGAGAGAGUGAGACAGCAAGAGAGUAAGAGAGAGCGAGAGGUGUUGGGGAUUUAGCUCAGCGGUAGAGCACUUGCCUAGCAAGCGCAAGGCCUGGGUUCGGUCCCCAGCUUCGAAAAAAAAAAAGAGAGAGCGAGAGAGCGAGAGAGCGAGAGAGCGAGAGGGAGCCUCAGCAGCUUCCUGAAAACCUGCUUACCAUGGGGGACGAGCCUGCCUUUACAUGGCUGGCAUUUAGAGCUGGCACCUCUUUACUGUACAUGCUAUCAAGGUGAAAUUUACACACAGUGAGCUCAUAAGUAUUCACACUGAGAUCAGAUGACACAUGUGGUUGUGCAAUGUCCCUGUGGCUCCUGGUGGCCUCCACCUCUGACACUCAAGGCACCAGUACCUGCUCUCAGGUACUGCCUCACAUCUGCACUCCCAGGCUCCAAGAACACAGGAGAGGGCAAGCCAACUCCUGGAUCCUCACCCUCCAGCCUGCCUUGGUCUCAUCUCCCUAAGUACCUCCUCCUGCUAAUCCCUGGAUGUAAGUCACUCACCCCGGGAGUACCCCCACUGCUGUCGGCUACCCCUGCAGGUUCCACAGGGCCCGCACUCAGGACCUGGAAGAGAACAGAGAACGGUGUGAAGUGGUUUCCUAGUCACGCGGCACACCCUGGGAAGCAGAAGACCUUUCCUCCACCAAUCACCCUGUGCCUUGAGGGCUCCCGUAUGUGAGACAACUGGUGUAAUAAAUGCGGGGGCUCCAGGAGCCACGCCUGGACUGAAAGCACCUGGGUGUCAUAAGGUGAGGCUGACUUGGCCCACCCUAAUCCGGAUACUGAAAGUCACACAGAGUGGAAGGAUGAGGUGGUGGUCCCUACGGAUGCUGUAUUCACCCUCGUCGUCUGUGAAGAGAGUCUGAGGGCUUUCUAAUGCUCCAUGCCCGACUGACUAACAACUGCCUGUUCUGUACCCUUGGUCUCUAAGUCAUUCGACCUCAGGGAGUUUGCACGGUCCUUCCUUUGAAGAGCUCUGUUUCUCUAAAACUCAGAAAAAUGGGAGCAGACCCUAAGGGAUAGGCAGACCCUCUGAGGAUAGGAGGCCAGACAGCUGGAGAUGGGUGUGUACUGAGGAGUUAGGGUGCGACGGCUGUUCCCUCCAGAUGCACCUGCUGUUUGUGAUGGUGAGUGUGAGCAAAGCAGCCAGUGAAGGUGGAAACAGUGUGUGUAGCGGGGACAGUGUGUGUAGGGGGGGGACCCUAGUUUCUGUCCCAACUGUGUCUUCUCGUUGCUCUGGGAUGACUCCAUAGGGGAUGCGAAAUAAAAUAUCCCUACCCCUGGUGCUACAGGCAGAGGGCUUUGAACCGACACAUCAGGGGUGCAGGGUCAUUUGGGGAGAAAAUAGAACCACAAAAGACAGCCCCUUGCUGUUCAAAGCAGAGUGUAGGAAGGGCACUGUGACCUGAGUAUGUCAGUGGCGAGGCGGCCUGGGAGUGUCACCCAGCCCCUGAGCCCCAGGUUUGGUGAGGAAGAAGAUAAGGUCCCUCAGUGCUCAUGGCUGCCUUGCUUGGGGUACAGAGAUGACAAAAUAGCAUGAAAGGAACGCUUCCUCUACUUGGAUGCUAACCUGCAAGGCAGCAGGUCUGUUGGGUGCCAUGGAGCUCAGUACAGGGCCAGCAGGGAACUGUGUGUUUGAGCAGUUUGCAUCAUACCCCUAGGCCUCUCUCCCUGGCCAACAGCUGACUCCUACUUCCCCCUGUCCCAGGCUGCUGACUCACAGGCUGGUCUGGAGACAGGCUGGGUUCCUCUUCCUGGGUACAGGCACCGCUGAAGGCCCUGAAGGUCUCACUCUUCUGUUUGUGCUUCUCCACGGUGGCCUGAAUGACCUGGACACACAGCAAAGCCACAGGCCGUCAGCAAGCCCGGGAAGGACACUGAGAGCUCAGGGUCUAGGCGUCCACAGAGCACCCCUGGACAUUUUACCCUGACUCUCUGCCCUGGAUCCAACAAGACCAAAGGGACUGGGUCCAGAAAGACUAUACCUAGCCCAAAGCCCCCCAUGGCCCUUUCCUGUUCCUUACUCGUGGAGAAGGGACUCAAGCAAGUAAAUGCAUUAAGAGACUUCUGGAACCUAAAGGCAUGUAUGAAGACACCCAUGGUCACUGCCUCCCUUGAGACAUGAUGACAGGCAGUGCUAGGGUUAGGGAAGAGCUCCUGGGUCGCGUGGCCCAUGUGGGAUGGCCGUAUUGUAAUAACAUUAGGAUGUAAGCCACACUCAGUGAUGCAAGUCUGAACCUCAACCUUCGGGAUACCAAGGCAGGAGGGUUGAGGGUUUGAGGCCAGUGUCGGUUCCUAGCAAAACCGUAUCUCAAAAACACAAGAGCUGUCCAUGUAGCCAGGCAGCAGGGAACUUGCUGAAACAGGUCCCCAGACUCUAGGUUUGACCCACAGGAAGGACAGACAGACAGCACAGACUUGAGAAGCGUCACCUGAAUCCAUUCUUUCUUCUCUUCUUCGGUCCUACAAAGACAAAGUCAGCAUCUUAGCGGUGCAUCCUUGGAUACUCCCUGUGUGCCUCCCUAGCCGCUCACUGCCUUGUAACCGCAACUCCAGGCUGGAAAGGCAGUUUCAGUGUUCAGAGCACGUGUGGCCCGAUUUCGGCCAGGCUCAUCUUGCAGAUCGAAAUUGCCCUGGACCCUGGUGGGUGAUUACAAAGCUGUCCCUCCAUAGGUGAAACGUGACAGAUUGGAUUCCCCACACACAGCCAAUGAGAGUUCAAGCUUAGAGGACAAUGUGACCUGAUAGAGCGGACAUGCCACACGCUGACCAGAAAUGAGACUCAGGCUGUCAGCAUCGGACCCUGUGACGAUUUUCCAGACAGGGUUUCUCUAUGUAACCCUGUCUGUCCGUCCUGGAACUCACUUUGUAAACCAGGCUGGCCUCGAACUCAAAGAACUGCCUACCUCUGGCUCCUAAAUGCUAGGAUUAAAGGCGUGUGUCAUC